ACGAUGAGAUGCGCUUCUAUCCCUGACGAGGCCCUCUUGACAAAUUGAGGAUAGGGUCGCAUCUUGGGCAUGACAUCCUUCUUCUCCUUCUUCUUCUCCUUCUUCUUCUCCUCUUCCUUCUCCUUCUCCUCCUCCUUCUCGUCCUUCGUCUUUUACUUCUCCUUCUUCUUCUCUUCUUGCUUCUUCUAUUUCUCUUCUUCUCUACGUAGCUUAGACUCAUCCAACAAAGACUAAAUUGGCUAAUUAUCCUACAAAAUGACAUAAUUAGCUUAGUUAGGUG
This 280-nucleotide long non-coding RNA is filed under the name Hordeum vulgare. RNAcentral's name for it is "long non-coding RNA (HVUL_LNC001526)". Lineage: Eukaryota; Viridiplantae; Streptophyta; Magnoliopsida; Poales; Poaceae. The record is from RNAcentral.